AACCAUAGAAACCUGCGGAGUACCUGCGGAAGGAUCAUUACCGAGUUAUACAACUCAUCAACCCUGUGAACAUACCUAUAACGUUGCCUCGGCGGGAACAGACGGCCCCGUAACACGGGCCGCCCCCGCCAGAGGACCCCCUAACUCUGUUUCUAUAAUGUUUCUUCUGAGUAAACAAGCAAAUAAAUUAAAACUUUCAGCAAUGGAUCU
This 210-nucleotide unclassified non-coding RNA is filed under the name soil metagenome. RNAcentral's name for it is "partial contains 5.8S ribosomal RNA, internal transcribed spacer 2, and large subunit ribosomal RNA". The record is from RNAcentral.